CCAAAAAUCUUUUUUUUACAUUUGUAUUAUUUCGGAGAAAAAGAAAGUAAAAGCUGUGCUUUUUGCACAUUCAAUGAGGAAAUGUUUUGCCCCCAAAAGAGCGUCUUGACUGACAUCCAUCUGGUGUUUCAUCCGCAAUGCGUCAUUGAGACGCGACUCCGGGGCCGAUCGAUAAACGCAGAGGCCUCUGGCGGAAAUGCGACCAGAGACUGUCCGUACGAGAACUGACCUGAGAGCAGAGCAGCAUGACCAGUUCCACCACCGACGUGCUGGACUUCAUACACACCAGACCUGCGGUGCGUAGACGCACUUGGUCACAAGGCGGCAAAAUAUCCAAAUUGAAGACGACACAAAAACAGUCGAGGAUGCAGGAAGGACCUCAUACCUGCUUGGUGAAUGAGUGAAGCAGCCAGCUCAAAGACCAAGCCCAACGCUCAAAGACCAAGCAAGCCGAACAAGGGAGUAGUAGUAAGGUUUGUUGUACAGCACCUGUACCUUCAAUGAGAAGCUCCUGCCCAUGACUCCCCAGGAGCGUGCGCGACAGGAAUGGCGCAAAGUCAACAAAAAUUUCCCUCAGGAGCGGCGCCACCUUCUCCAGCGCUCGUUCCAGCUUGGUGGUGAUGCU
Molecule: long non-coding RNA, 625 nt
Organism: Syngnathus acus (greater pipefish)
Lineage: Eukaryota; Metazoa; Chordata; Actinopteri; Syngnathiformes; Syngnathidae
Exons: 2
Source: RefSeq, a predicted model, not a curated record